GGUUAGUCCCAUGUAUGUGAAACAGAAAGAUUCUUGCUAAAGCAGAAUAAGGGGAGUAGGAAAAAUCCCAGAAGAAGCUGUGCAACAAAAAAAGUGAAUUGUGCAGGCAUAUAUUUGAAGUUCUGUAUUCAGAAAGAAAAUAUGGCAAACAAGGACUAUGAGGAAGUACUGGGAAGAGGAUGCAAAUAUUCUGAGGGGAAUUACUGUUGCUCAUUUCUCUUCCUCAGCUGAUCAGUCUGCUUUUGGGUGAGAUAUUGAGAAGAUGUGAUGCGUCACCUCUCCAUCACUGCGGGGAAUUUGCUUAAAGGCAGACUUCACACAUGUAAUCUGCUCAUGUCUGUUGCUAAUAUAGGUAUGAUUGGGAGGGAUGCACUCCUAGCUGAGCAGGAAAUGUAGUGUCAUUGAAACGUUCUCUGACAGGGAGACUCUGAGGGCUGUAUUCCCCCAUACCUCGUAUCUUCUUUAUUAGUGCUGCUGUUUGUAAGUCCACACUCCAACCUAAAUGGCACAGGGCCACUUUUACAGCUGGGUCUCCAUCGUUUUUUGGGUACUGUUUCAGGAGGAAGAAGUCGCGCUGUUGUUCUCCAAGCAAAAGACUAAAUGCACAUGCUGUCUGGCAGUUUUCUAGCCAAAAUAUGACACAAAUUCCCUUGGACAGCUUAGCUCCUACAGGAAAAGAUGGCUUGGCAGCUGAACUACGGAAGUUCUGUAAUGACCACCACGCUCAUUAGACAAUGAAAAGCUGUGCAGGGGUAAAAAAAAAAAGGCAAUGCACGUGGGUGGCAAGGUGGGUGAAUAUUAUUUCUACCUAUCCUUUCAGGUUCUCAGAGGAAUCACUGGAUAUAUAAAUUAAGCUACAAGCCACAGGAAUUACUGGAUAUAUAAAUUAAGCUACAAGCCAUUUGCUGACUCUCAUCAACCUUAUUAAGUGGUAGGGAAUCAGUAGUUCAGUGCAUUUAUGCAUUUAGAGAAAUAAAGCCAUGAUUAGUUCAUUGGACA
This 999-nucleotide long non-coding RNA is filed under the name Phasianus colchicus (ring-necked pheasant). RNAcentral's name for it is "lncRNA (ENSPCLG00000008010.1)". Lineage: Eukaryota; Metazoa; Chordata; Aves; Galliformes; Phasianidae. The record is from RNAcentral.